RNAcentral lists this ribosomal RNA (322 nucleotides) under uncultured eukaryote. RNAcentral describes it as "partial 18S ribosomal RNA". It matches the Rfam family "Eukaryotic small subunit ribosomal RNA", at positions 1470 to 1796 of the family's 1831-position model. The record is from RNAcentral.
CCCUUAGAUGUUCUGGGCCGCACGCGUGCUACACUGAGUGGAUCAGCGGGUCAGGUUGCGCGAAAGUGUUUCCUAAUCUUGAAAUCCGCUCGUGAUGGGGAUUGACGGUUGCAAUUUUCCGUCAUGAACGAGGAAUACCUUGUAAGCGCGGGUCAUCAUCCCGCGCUGAAUACGUCCCUGCCCUUUGUACACACCGCCCGUCGCUCCUACCGAUUGAGUGGUCCGGUGAGGCUUUGGGAUCUGAGCGGAAAGAGCGUUUCGCUGUUUCUGCUCGGAAAACUCAGUCGAACCUUAUCAUUUAGAGGAAGGAGAGGUCGUAACA